Molecule: long non-coding RNA, 1224 nt
Organism: Salvelinus fontinalis (brook trout)
Lineage: Eukaryota; Metazoa; Chordata; Actinopteri; Salmoniformes; Salmonidae
Exons: 2
Source: RefSeq, a predicted model, not a curated record
UGUAAAUUCUCACAUGACCAGAGCUGUUUACUUCCUGGUUGCACCAUGAGAAAAGGAUGGCUGCGUCAACGCUCCCAAACAAAAGUUUCACUUUGAGUCAAGUUCUGGAUAUGUUGGAUCUAGGUGACUGCCCAGACAAGGCAUGCAACAUUGCAGUUAUCCCUCAAAAUGAGAAAGAUGCUGUCCUGAGUGAUUGUGAUAGCAAUGAGUCAGAUAUGGACUAUGGACAGGCCAUUUGCCAGUCAGGCUGUUGAAUGCAUAUGCUGAACCUAUGCAAACAGAUCAUGACAGGAACAACGUUAUCAGUGAUGAUGACCUACCCCCACCCCAUCCACAACCUCCCCCACUCCUCUCCAUUGUUGAUAAUGAAGAGCCAAGGAUGGCUAUACCUGCCAGAGGGUCCAGUCAGAAGAGCCAAGGGAAAAUCUGCGGGUGGUCAAAAAUAAAGAUUUGAGUGUUCAAACAAUCGAAGAGGCCUGCCACCGAUGUGAUUCCAAAACACAUAGUAUACAGCCCAAAUAUGCGAAAGUUUGGUAUGAAAGCACUGAGCCACGGAAGGAGAUCUUUCCUGGCUGCUACUGUUGAAGACCAGGCAAGAUAUGACAAAGCUUCUCAUUGGCCAAUCAACACAAUGCACCGGUUCCAGAGAUGUCGUCAUUGUGACAAAUGCACUACCUAUGCAUGUGAGAAAUGCAAAGCGCCACUGCACAUUGAGUGCUUCAAGAUAUACCAUGGACAAUAGAAAAGGAGAUAAGAGCGAAUGAAAAAGACAAUAAAAUAAAAGUCGAUAAAGGGUGAGGAGAAGCAGUACAACGGACUCUAGGAAGAAAAGAAAAGUUGACGAUCAAGACAAUCAAAAUGACUGAAAUGUUUUUGGAAAAGAAGAUCAAUUGAUUCAAGACGGUACUGUGGUCUGACUGAUCGCAGUUCAAAAUAGUGAUGCACAAACUAAUCUUGCACUUGGUUCUUACAAUUGUGUGUAUAUAUAUAUAUAUAUAUAUAUACACAAUUGUAUUUUGUUCAGUGUAGGCCUUUACUUGAAUGCAUAUUCUACAGGCUACCUCUAUCCUAAAUGUUACUUUUAUGUUCAGUGGGAAUGAAUCACAUGACUGCUAUACAGUUGUUAGUGAAUGUUGCACUAAAAUGUCACAAUGACAAUGUUACAAUGAAUAUUGCACUAAAGUACAAGUUCAAAUGUUACAAUAAAGUUACAAUAUUAAUGUU